This is a long non-coding RNA of Marmota monax (woodchuck), 6011 nucleotides long. RefSeq lists it as uncharacterized. The transcript has 3 exons. Lineage: Eukaryota; Metazoa; Chordata; Mammalia; Rodentia; Sciuridae. The record is from RefSeq and is a predicted model, not a curated record.
GGUUCUACUGGGGGCGACUUUCAGGGUACAAACACAGCACAGCCUGUUCUCCAGGGCCUCUCACUGCUGCAGCUCUGCUGCCCCCUGCCUGUCACCCGAGUCACACAGCCAGGGCUUGCAGCUCCAGGGAAAGGACCCUGACCUGUCAUUUUCACGUACCAACCUGUUUCCCACUGGCAGCCCCGUAGAACCUCUGGGGCCAGUUUCACAGCCCCUUUGGAGCCCACCACCCACGUUAACUGCCCUUGGGCACCUCAGAGGCAAUUGUUCCCUGAGCCUGGGGCCUCUGCCACAUGUUCACGAGUGUCCGAGCUGCUGGGAGCUGCCAGCCAGUGUUCUGGUCCCGUACAGUGGAAUGUUGGUCCUGGGCCAGCGUCUGUGCGCCCGUGGGCUCCCUCUUAUGGAGUUACAAGGAGAGGCCAGUCAGGGCCUGGAAACAGGCCCGGGAGUCAGCAUGCCCCGAUGUCUUCUGCACCCCAGGGCUCCCCGGUCAGGCCUGGCUAGCCCUGGUUCUCUCAGGGGAGAGUGCUUGGCUGCCGUUUUCCUGGGAUGGACCUUUUUCACUCUUCUUUUCUGUUUUCCUUGUGCUCAGUGGCAGUCUGAGGGCCAGGGCUCGGGCUCUGCCAGCCUCCUGGCUGAGGCUGUGCGCUCCUGGCAGCACUGCCCCGCCUGCCCGCCAGCUCUUCCUUUUCCUUCUCUCUCCAGUGCCUCCCUCAUUCCCAUGGGCACAGUCCCUUGAUUGUUGGGCUAUUGGCAUGGCCUGCCAGGAGAGCAGCUGAGUAUUUACGCUGUUAAAAUAGGUCACUGCUGAGGUCAGCAGGUGUUUUUGUUUUGAUUUGCGUUAAUGGACUUACACAUUUUAGUGCUGCUCUUUUCUGUCCUGUGGUGCUCCGGCAAUGCGACGUACACAUAGCCAAGAAUGUGACACUGUCAUCAACCAAAUGUCAAUGUCGUUAGAAUGGUCUCUGCGAGAGGGUUAUUCUUCAAAAAAAGAGUAAAUAUUAACUAAAGCUGAAAGUACUGUGGGAAGCAAGAUUAUGUACAUUACUUGAAUGAUCUUAAGUUGCCUCAGCCCUCUUCUUUUGGGGGAAGCCACUUUGUCUUGGAAAUUUGAGCUGCUUUUAAAAUAUGUGUUUCUUAUAUAAUGUGCCAUAGGAAAGCUGACUGGACCCCAGGUGUUGUGAGUCCCACUCUCCGGCAGUCCUUGGACAAUAGUAUUUACAGUGCCUGUGUUGUGACUUGCCCCAGCAGAGGCAGCAGUACUCCUUUGGAGCUCUGAGAGGGUUUUCUUGGCUUGUAAAGCUGAUGACCACGGCCUUGGAUGGGGCUGUUCCUUGCACGGUCAUCCACAAAUAGGGCUGGGGUCUGGACUGUUCUUUAGUUGUCAGUCAGUUAGCAUUGCCUGUGUGUUUGCAGUUACUUGUUGAUAUUAAUUAUCUUUUUUUUAACUGGUGUUGGGGACGGAACCCAGUUAUGUUAUGACAUGUUAUGCAGGCACUGUACUGCUGAGCUGCACCUGCUAAAGUUUAUUUUGAGAUUGGGUUUCCCUAAGUUGCCCAGGUUGGCCUAGAACUUGUGAUCCUCUUCCCUCAGUUUCCCAAGUAGCUGGGUUUUCUCAUGUGGCUACCAUUGGCAUUGCUUAUCAUUUCAUUAUUUUAUGUAGCUUUGAGUCUCAGUGCUUUUCACAGUUAGGACUGCAGGUAUUCAGAAUGAAGGAUAAUCCCGUGUGACUCCAGCCAUGCUUUUGUCAGCUCAGGGGUGCUGCUUAGCGGUGAGGCCAGGGGCUGCUGGGGACACCCCAUCUAUGUUUAAGUCUUGUGGGUUAUGAGAUGUGCAAAGCUGGAUGGGCUGUAUGCUGGGCUUCCCUCCAAGACAGUGGCAGGCAGGCCAGCUCUGUUGCCUCCUGGAGCAGUUUUGUUGAAUUCCCAUUGGGAUCUCACAGUCGGCUACCUUUGUUUUACACACUCCCACCUGUGGUCCUGGGAUUGAGCCCAGGGGUGCCUACCACUGAGUUAAACUGACAGCCUCUUUUUUAUUUUAUUUUAGAGAGUGUCUUGCUAAGUUGCUGAGGCUGGUCUUGAACUUGGGAUCCUCCUGAGCAGCUGGAAUUACAGGCAUGACUACUGUAACUGACAAAAAAAAGUACAUUUUUAAGAAGACUUAUUGCAUGACCGAAUUAUGCUAUCUCAGACCCUAUCACAAGUGAAUUGAAUGUUUUUACAAAUUUUCAGGGCUGAGGACAUAGCUUAGUGAUAGAGCGCUUGAGUUUUAUCCUCAGCACUGCAAAAAAAAAAAAAGCUUUUCAAGUAUAGAUUUUGAAUUUUUAUUUUAUCCAUUUUAGAACCAAAAAUAAAUUCCUAAACAUUGGGAUAAAAGUAAACUCCUAAGAGAUCCUUUAAAUUCCCAAACAUAUUCUCUGUUUCUGAAUUUUUAUAAUCUUCUUUUAAAUUUUUUUAUAGUUGUAGAUGGACAGAAUGCCUUUAUUUUAUUUUUAUAUGGUGCUGAGGAUUGAAACCAGGGCCUCGCACAUGCUAGGCAAGCACUCUGCCACUGAUGAUGAUGAUGAUGAUCAUCAUCAUCAUUAUCAUGUGUGUGGUGCUGAGGGGCGCUUUGCCACUGAGCCACAUCCCAGCCCUUUUUGUUUUUUAUUUUGAGACAGGGCCUUGCUAAGUUGCUGAUGCUGUCCUUGAACUUGCAACCCUCCUGCCUCAGCUUCCCAGUCACUGGGAUGACAGGCGUGGCCACUGUGUCCAGCUAUAAAAGCAUUUUCUCAUGACUCUUGGAAUCAGUGUUUGCCAUGAAUGUAUCCUGUCAGGGGCCAGAGGUCACCUCAGCCAGUCAGCCACACAUGGGGUGGGAGACCAGGUGGCAGGACUUGGUUUUUAGGUGGAACCCUCCCACACCAAAAGACCAGCACCAAGCAGAGCUGUGCAGAGUUCAGGAGUCUGCCUUAUGGAGGCUGGGCUGGCGGAGGUGGGGUUGGCAGAGGUGGGGCUGGCCAGGGCAGGUUGUGGCCCCGUCUGCUCAUAAAGGGAGCCUGCGUAGCACAGGCACAGGAAGAACCCUGUUCCUGCCGCUGUAGUUGCUUGGGAGGGCUCUGAGGAUGUCUAGUUUGUGUUUUGAGGUUUGGGCCAGUUUUGGUUGUCAUCAUGCUCUAAAUUGGGGUCUCACUAUGUUGCUGAGCCUGGCCUUGAACUCACAGUCCUCCUGCCUCAGCCUCCCCAGUAGCUAGGAUGACAGGCAUGUCCACCACGCCGGCUUGCUUCCCUUCCCUAAGGUAGGUGCAAGGUGCCUGAGGCACCAUGUUCCCACCAGGGGCUGUUGGUUGUCCCCGGAUAUCGGGGGCUCCAGACGAGUGCUGCCAGUCACACACCCUACACCGUCUAUCUGCUCUUUGCUCCGGGCGGUGUCCUGUGGUCUUCUCUUGGGUGGACCCUCAGCCGAGGUGUUGGUUUUGGUGGGUGCUUUCCCUGGCAGCUUCCCUGCUAAGGCGACUUGGGCGUCCGGCACUUGCUUCCUCUGCUGUUCUGUUGACCGUGCCCCAGGGCAGCUCUUUGUCCCUGCUGGCUGAGACUGGAGAGGCUUCCUCGGCUCUGUCGGCUUCUGUACCUUGGACAGUCGGUCCUGUUGCACAAGUCGGCCCCUGGAGCAAAGCUGAUCCCAGCCUCCGGUGCCUGGGCUGAAUGUUCUGGAAGGCCAUCAACUAGCUUUGAUUUUGAAUGCAGUGGUUGCUUCUAGGGCCACUGUCCUCUCUGUGGAGCUUCCUCAUAGGUGCCCUGGUGGCCGGCUUGGCUUGUCACUUCCUUCCCACAGCAGAGGUUCCGUGCUUGGGGGGCCGCAGAGCUGCUGCUGCUGCUCCCCAGGAGGUUUCCCACCCCCCGCAGGCAGGAGAGCAAUGAAGCCACACCUGACCCCCUCACGCUCCCAAGAUGUCCAGAUGUCUGGUGUCCGCAGCAGUUGAAAGGCAUCACUUUGUUGAAUGGCUCGGCUGGAGCUCUUCACCUGCCUGUCCUUGGACACGCCUGCGCCCUCCCUCCUGCCCAGCCAGCAGUGUCAGGGAGCCUCGCUCCACAGUGCGUGACUGACGGACCACCACAGGGCCACCCUGUAAGGCACCUUCCUUUAGCAGGAUGGAAGAGAAACCCAGGGGCUACUGCCAGACACAGCCUGGCCCCCUGAGAGGCUUGGGCACAGCCCCAGAAUGUGGACGGGGCUCUGUCCCAAGGGGCCGAGCUGGCCCUGGUGUGGAGCUGGAUUCUAACCGCAGCUUCAAGUCGGUUGCGGACGGGGCGGGUGGUAAAGCCUCUGUUACCUCGGAACAACUCGAGAUCUCUGUAGUGCGUCAGCAUGUUUUCCAGGGGCAUCUGGGUUUGUAGUGGGGGUUCCACCUGGAGACACACAUGAGGCUUUCAUAGUAAAAGAAAAGAAAAUGCCAGUUCUGCUAAGCCUCGCAAGCACACUGUCCAACAGGCAGGCUGGGUGCGGCUCAAGCGCUGAGGCCCGGGUCCCGUCCCAGCACCAGAAACGAAACAAAAGUGUAUGGUGUGUUUGAAACAUAAAGCCCCUGAGAACAGGAGUACAGUCAAAUAGCGCCUGGGCUGUAGAACGCAACCUCAUUGCCAAUAAAGCAGACCUGAGGCCCCCUGGGCAGCGACCGUGGGGCCUCGCUCAUGCUGCACUUGACCUUGGCCUCCAGCCUUGCACCCCGAGCUGCUACCUUCCAAGCUCAGCUUGCAGGAGCCAGGGUUUCCCUCAGCAGUGCUGAAAGAUGGGUGGGCUUGAUGCCCAGGUCUCCGGCUGCCUGUGCUGGCCUCUCACCACUGGGGGGGCCCUAGGAGGAGGGUGCUAGAGAGGCCAGCAGCGGAAGAGCUGUGUCCCCAAGUUAAGAGCCUCCUCAAAGCAAGAAUCACUGAGGUGGCUCAGCCCUGGGAUUCUGGGAGAAUCUCUUCCUUUGGGUUUUCAUGUCUUGGACUCUGUCUUCUCUGUUUCCGUGUGCUCCCACUGAGGUGUUCUUUGGAAGCCAUAUCCAGCAGAAUCAUCAUUUGCCACUGGAAGGACGUGUCCUCCUUCCUGAUGGUCCCUGGGCAUCCCACCACUGGCCUUGACCUUGGGUUCCACACUGCAUUUUGAUGCCUGUUCUUCCCUCAGGGUCUUGGUCUCUUGAGAACAAGUAAGAGCCUGUCAGGAGAGAGGCCGGGUGGGGGACCUGGACGUCUCUGGAUGAGCCCGUCCAUCCUCAGGACCUUGAUGUCCCCAGGAAUUCAGUGAACUUGGUGGCCGGAGCAUGUCCAGCUUCCUGCCUGAGCUCCCACCCCCAGGUUGGUCCCCAGCCCAGGCACUGCUGUCAUGGAGACAGCGGGCAGCAGCACUGCAGUGCCGGGCGGCUGUCUCUGAGCAACAGGUGGUUCCAGCAGCAGCAGCAGCAGCAGGAGACCUGCUCGUGGACCGAGGGCAGCUUUACAGGGCGAAGCUGCAACGUCGCCAGUUCCUGGGCCUCACAAGCUGUUUGCUCUCACACCAGCUGUGUGUGAGAGGGCGGCCACUAUUUAAAGGCUGGCCGGUUUCACAGUGAGUCUUGAGUCCCAGCAGUGCUUCACCCGGGCAGCUCUGGCCACCCUGGACACACAGUGCACCAGCCCCAAGCUGGCCCAGGGGCACGGAGUCCUCCUUCAGUGGUCUCACUGUCCCAGCGCCAGAUCAGCGAUUCCUAUUUCACAGCGUUGCUCUAUGGACUAGUGUUAUGCGGGAAGCCAGCGCCACAGGAGGGUUUCUUACAGUGCCUGAGGAGGGGUCAUGUCACAGUCUGAUCAUUUGAAGAGGUGCAGAGACCCUGAGGCUCCCCUGCAUGUGGGCCUUGAGCCUCAGGCCAGCAGCUGGCCCGGGAGCACUGCCUCCUCCCCCGGGUGAGGCCACAGCAGAGAAGCCCUCAUCAGCCUCUGUCAGCUCCAUGCCUUGACCUUGGCCUCCAGUCCCCAGAACUGUGAGCAAUAAACCUCUGUGCUUUACAAGUC